Nerophis ophidion (straightnose pipefish) is the source of this 2270-nucleotide long non-coding RNA. RefSeq lists it as uncharacterized. The record is from RefSeq and is a predicted model, not a curated record. The transcript has 7 exons. NCBI's taxonomy places the organism in Eukaryota, Metazoa, Chordata, Actinopteri, Syngnathiformes, Syngnathidae.
UAAUUUACGUGGACCCCGACUUAAACAACUUGAAAAACUUAUUUGGGUGUCACCAUUUAGUCAAUUGUACGGAAUAUGUACUGUACUGUGCAAUCAAUCAAUCAAAAUUCAGUAAUUUAUUCUGUCAAAAUUAAAAUAUCAAAUAUAUUUAACCAGACAUUACUUUAUAAAUCCCAGCCUAUCGCAGGCCAGGUAAAUGAAGUAGGGGUCAACAUUAGAAGACGUGUGGGGGCCACAUUAUAAUUUUUUUUAUUUGCAAAAGAACAAAUACAUUUAACCAGAAAGUACUUUAUUUAAACCCAGUGUCAGGUUUAAGCACCGAACUAUCUAUUAAACAGGACAAGAAGCAAGGAAUCAAGCAGAGACAGAUUUCAAUUUUGCUCAUGAGGAGAACGCCUGGAGCUGCACACCCCGUUACAGUCUCCCACCACGCUCUGAGUUACAGCCCUUGCGCCCCCUAUUUUAUUCAGGAGUUCCCUAUAUCGCUGAAGCUGCUUUUAAAGGGAGGGGCCACAUAUGCAAUCAACUCCAGUAGACACAAUACGUGAUUAAUCACAAUGGAAAUGUGCUGAGCCUCGUGAUUUCGCCCCGUCUCUACAUACUUUGUCACCGUUGAGGUACUUGAGGUCCGUCCUUGGCUGUUAGUUAGUAGGCUGAAAGACACAAAACGCUACAGCGAGGAAACUCCUAACUUGCAAUGGAAGAUAACAAGUUAUGUGCCUUUUAAGCAUAAGAGCUGUGUGAUAGCUUAAAAUAUAAUUAUUCUAACACCCAGCCUGAGAUGACAAACCACAUGAAAUGAUGUGGCGGGCCCGAUUUUGCCCCUGAGCCUUGAGUUUGACAGCUGGUGGUGGUUAAUUGCUACCUGUUUUGUGGGCAAAUUAAUUCAUUUUAAAGAAGUAGAAUCUUGUAUACGUGCAAGGAAAAAGCCAGUGUUGACAGUAACUGUAAAAACUUCUAUGCACCAUUGAUGAAUUACUACGAACAAAUGAUCUAUUUUACACUCGGGAAUUUGCUGACUUGUCAAAUGUCUCGAUGUCAGACUUUGACACUUUGCAUAAUUACGACUCAGUGGGUCGAGCAGAACAUAAACAAGAUAAAACAGCUGAUGGCUCAGACUAAAACACACAUGCUCUAAAUUCCUGCUUUCCUUUGUACGCUAUAGGUCUCGAUCAGGACAGCGGAUCAUGGGACUCAGACCAAAGGUCAAUCACACGUCAUCAUCCUAACCUUAAAGAGUAAGCCUGGCCUGGAGCUGCAGAAGAAGAUUAGGCCGCUCGGACGUAAGGAGAGGAUCAUGCAGACCGAGAUUAUAAAGUCACACCUGAAAGUCGGAGGCGUGUGGUGACCGCCAAUGUCUCUGAUGGAAGCCAUGGAGGAGCCAAGAAAGUCGCAGCUGCCUCUUUGACAGCUGCAGGAGGACGCAAGCUCCGCUCAUGUCUCCGCGAGAUUAUAAAGUCACACCUGAAAGUUGGACAGGUGUGGUGACCGCCAGUGUCUCUGAUGGAAGCCAUGGAGGAGCCAAGAAAGUCGCAGCUGCCUCUUUGACAGCUGCAGGAGGACGCAAGCUCCGCUCAUGUCGCCGCGAGAUUAUAAAGUCACACCUGAAAGUCGGAGGCGUGUGGUGAUCGCCAAUGUCUCUGAUGGAAGCCAUGGAGGAGCCAAGAAAGUCGCAGCUGCCUCUUUGACAGCUGCAGGAGGACGCAAGCUCCGCUCAUGUCUCCGCGAGAUUAUAAAGUCACACCUGAAAGUUGGACAGGUGUGGUGACCGCCAGUGUCUCUGAUGGAAGCCAUGGAGGAGCCAAGAAAGUCGCAGCUGCCUCUUUGACAGCUGCAGGAGGACGCAAGCUCCGCUCAUGUCUCCGCGAGAUUAUAAAGUCACACCUGAAAGUCGGAGGCGUGUGGUGACCGCCAAUGUCUCUGAUGGAAGCCAUGCAGGAGCCAAGAAAGUCGCAGCUGCCUCUUUGACAGCUGCAGGAGGACGCAAGCUCCGCUCAUGUCUCCGGUAAGAGCCAACUUAUUACCACUAUUUUUUCACCAAAACCUGCCGGUUGACAUGUGGUAGGGAACCAUGUUCGCUUGAACCAUGUUCUGCUUACCGGAAGUAGCAGACGAUGUGCGCGUGACGUCACUGGUUGUAGGGCUCCUCACAUCCGCACAUUGUUUACAAUCAUGGCCACCAGCAGCUAGAGCAAUUGGGACCGAGAAAGCGACAAUUUCCCCAUUAAUUUGAGCGAGGAUGAAAGAUUCGUGGAUGAGGAUAGUGAGAG